This 497-nucleotide ribosomal RNA is filed under the name uncultured bacterium. Its description in RNAcentral is "partial 16S ribosomal RNA". It matches the Rfam family "Bacterial small subunit ribosomal RNA", at positions 28 to 507 of the family's 1533-position model. The record is from RNAcentral.
GAUGAACGCUGGCGGCGUGCCUAAUACAUGCAAGUCGAGCGAACAGACGAGGAGCUUGCUCCUCUGACGUUAGCGGCGGACGGGUGAGUAACACGUGGAUAACCUACCUAUAAGACUGGGAUAACUUCGGGAAACCGGAGCUAAUACCGGAUAAUAUAUUGAACCGCAUGGUUCAAUAGUGAAAGACGGGUUUGCUGUCACUUAUGGAUGGAUCCGCGCCGCAUUAGCUAGUUGGUAAGGUAACGGCUUACCAAGGCAACGAUGCGUAGCCGACCUGAGAGGGUGAUCGGCCACACUGGAACUGAGACACGGUCCAGACUCCUACGGGAGGCAGCAGUAGGGAAUCUUCCGCAAUGGGCGAAAGCCUUACGGAGCAACGCCGCGUGAGUGAUGAAGGUCUUCGGAUCGUAAAACUCUGUUAUUAGGGAAGAACAAAUGUGUAAGUAACUAUGCACGUCUUGACGGUACCUAAUCAGAAAGCCACGGCUAACUACGUG